AUGGCCCGCCUCGGCCUCCGGCGCUUUCCGCCGCUGAUGCUCCUCCUCCUACUCCUCUUCACCCUCGUCGUCGCGGAGGUGGCGGCGGGGAAGGGGAAGAAGAGGGGCGACGGCGGCGGCGGGCUGCGGUUCCGGCGGGAGGGCGGCACGUUCAAGGUGCUGCAGGUGGCGGACAUGCACUACGCGGACGGGCGGAGCACCGGGUGCGAGGACGUGCUGCCCGAGCAGGUCGCCGGCUGCUCCGACCUCAACACCACCGCCUUCCUCUACCGCGUCAUCCGCGCCGAGGACCCCGACCUCGUCGUCUUCACAGGCGAUAACAUUUUUGGCGCGGAUUCAACCGACGCGGCCAAGUCGAUGGACGCGGCCAUCGCUCCGGCCAUCACCAUGAACCUUCGCUGGGCUGCUGUGCUCGGUAACCAUGACCAGGAGGGCACCCUGUCGCGGGAGGGUGUGAUGCGCCACCUUGUAGGCAUGAAGAACACCCUGUCACGCUUCAACCCUGAAGGAGUAGAGAUCGACGGCUUCGGAAAUUAUAACCUCGAAGUUGGUGGGGUUGAAGGAACACUGCUGGCUAACAAAUCAGUGCUCAACCUUUAUUUUCUCGACAGUGGUGACCGUUCUACUGUAUGGUGGAUCCCUGGUUAUGGUUGGAUCAAGGCUUCACAGCAAGCUUGGUUCAAGCAAACCUCUUUGAGUCUGCAGAAAAACUACAGGAAUGAAGAACCUAGACAGAAGGAGCCGGCACCUGCUCUUGCAUACUUCCACAUUCCAUUGCCGGAGUUCAGCAGUUUCACAGCAUCCGAUUUCACAGGAGUGAAGCAGGAGAGUAUCAGCUCGCCAUCAAUCAACUCCGGUUUCUUUACCACGAUGGUGGAAGCCGGAGAUGUGAAGGCUGCCUUCAUAGGACAUGAUCACAUAAAUGACUUCUGCGGGAAGCUCACCGGUAUUCAGCUCUGCUAUGCCGGUGGCUUGGGUUACCACGCGUAUGGGAAGGCCGGGUGGUCGAGGAGAGCAAGAGUGGUGUCUGUGCAGCUUGAGAAGACAGUGAGCGGCGAGUGGCAAGGCGUGAAAUCUAUCAAGACAUGGAAGAGGCUUGAUGACCAACAUCUGACCACGAUUGACUCCGAGGUUCUUUGGAACAGAGGCUCUAAUGGAAGGAUCAUGACAGAAGCUGAGUUCAGGCUUGGGGACAGCGAGUGA
This 1203-nucleotide ribosomal RNA is filed under the name Triticum aestivum (bread wheat). RNAcentral describes it as "partial small subunit ribosomal RNA". The record is from RNAcentral. Lineage: Eukaryota; Viridiplantae; Streptophyta; Magnoliopsida; Poales; Poaceae.